Molecule: long non-coding RNA, 2194 nt
Filed under: Homo sapiens (human)
Lineage: Eukaryota; Metazoa; Chordata; Mammalia; Primates; Hominidae
Description: HSALNT0301329
Source: RNAcentral
AUGUUGGGAAGCAGGUUUCUCUCCAGGCUCCGGGGCCUGGAGUUGGAGGCUAAUGUCUGGAGCUGUGCAGAGGUAGGGAGACACGGGGCUCUGGGGGCCAAAGGGCAUGAUGCCGAGGGCCUGGUGUGCUCCGCCUGGCCUAAGCCUACCGAGGAGGAGCCCAUGUGGGUCCAAACAGUGAUCUAGCUUCUGAGUAGAGAAGGCUUAAAAUAGUGGUAAUCAUUCCAGCAGCUGCCGUUUGCUGAGCGCUUGCUGUGAGCAGGCACCCUGCCAAGAGCUCUUCAUGUGUGACCUCAUGUCCACCUCUCUCCCUGGGAGCCAACGGCUCUUGAGGACACUUGGUUAUGGCGUCCCCCCUGGAACACUGGGCCUCAAGCAGCACAACUAACGCUCAUGGGACACUCACCGUGUGCCAAGCCCUUGCAUGCACUUCACCUCGUUGAAUCCGUACAGCCGUAUUUUGGGGAUCUUCAAGUGACCUUGAAAUGGCUGUGGCUGCUCCUUUAGAGGACUCCAUCCUGACCCUCUUCUAGCCAUGCCUCUCCCUGUGGGGAAGGAGUCUACAGGGCCAAGGAGACGUGACUCUGUGAAGCCCAUGGCUCCCUUCUAAAACAUUCUCUGGAUAUUCUCUGCAGUCUUGAACUCCUGGGCUCAAGUGAUCUUCCCGCCUCAGCCUCUGGAGUAGCUAGGACUACAGCAUCCAGUUCCCAGAACUCCCUGGAGAAUUCUCAGACCUCAAACAAUGAAGUGUCUCAUUCGGAGUAAAAGGAAGAGCACAGGAGUCACCGGAGUCCACGUGGACGCAAUUCCACAAGUGACCUUGAAAUGGCUGUGGCUGCUCCUUCAUGUUGACCGAAGCCAGCUGGCAGCGGUCAGGAUUCUGACCAUGUUGCCAAAAAGAAGAGGGGCAGAAAGUGCUCCAGCAGGUGCUUGGAGGGAUGGCUGAGGGCUCAUCUCAAAGGUCAGAGGGUGGAGUCUUGUGACUCCUCAUGUAGUAUCGCAGGCUGUAGUUAUUCCCCUAUAGCCUAAGCUGGAAGGCUCAGCUUCAACAGGAUUAUGAGGUCAAACAAGUUUGUAUUGGUCAAACCUCCCUCUGUGCCUCUCCCCCCAGAACCCAGUUGAGAACCUUGCUGUCCUGGCCUCGUAUCCAGCAUUUGUUCAUGGCUUCCAGUACCUCAGGGCUAACACUGGGCUGCCUGGGGGUCCCAUCAUCCUACCCUCCCUUGCCAUACCCUUGAGGACUAAGGUUUACACACAGACACGUGUGCAUAUGAAUGUGUAUACACAUGUAUCGAGCAUGUGUAUGCACGCACAUGCACACACACACUCUGAUUCUCUCUCACACACAUGCACGUGAAAUUCACUGGUUGGGGUUUCAUUUUCCCAGAGCUCAGCUCCAUGUAUUUUUCAAUGGGAGGCAAGAGAAGAGUGAUCCUUCCAUUUCAGGUAGCAUUUGCUCAUUUAAACCCUGAUAACGUGUUUUCUAACCUCCAGGCAAAGUAUAUGCUGGCCCAUGUGGCAAGCCACCCAUAAGAAUGAGAGAAAAGCGCCCUCCCUCUGGGCAGUUAUGGGCCUUGGUGGGCAGAGUUUGGGUUGGAUUCCAGUCCCUACUUGCCUCUACCCUGGAGACCUUUGUGCUCUGAGCUAUCUCACAGAUACUUUGGAGGAGUGAUUCUAAUGGGAAGAACUCUAGGCUGGGGAAGGAAGGGAAAGUUUUAGGGGUAGAUGAAGCCUUGUAGUUGCCCACAGAUCAUCCCAUGUAGGUGUCUGUCUAUUCUGUGUGCUCAGAGAGCUGGCAUUGCAGGCUGGGCUAUGCCUCACUGACUCAGCAGGAUUGAUUGCUCAGCGCCCCUGCAAAGUGCCUAACACUGCAAGGAGCAUCAGUGCCCAUUUUAUGUGACCAGUUUCUAUGGCCCCUUUAAAAUGGGCCAUAAUUUUAGAAACAUGACUUAGUUGAUCACUUGAUCAUGUUUGAUCAAUCAAGGUGACUGAUUUGGGAAGUAGGCAGGGUAAGAAUAUUAUAACCAUCUUAAAGAUGAAAAAACAAAGACUCAGAGAGGUAAAGUGCUAUGCACACAGUCACUCAGCUGGUAAGCGGCAGGGUUGGAACCGUGCUCCUCUGGUUCUGCCAAUUAGGCAGCCAUGUCAUGUUGCCUCCUACCAGACAGACUCACGAAUGCCGGCUUGAAGCUUA